CCCGCCGCCUAACGGGUAUAGUGGGCGGGGCUACAUUUUUUAUCCAGGGACCCCGCCGCGGUGCCAGGGGACUGCGAAAUUUUCCAGUGAGGGCCUGGGCAGAGGCGCCAAUGAGAAGGGAAGGUUGUUAGGGCAGCUGACGUGGGUGACGUCUCUGAGCGGCGCCAGCUGAGCGCGGUGGAACCAAGCCGUCCUUCCUUCUCGGAGGCUGGCUUGUUCCCCCGGCGUCUGUGGACCCCGUUUAGCUGUUCCUGGUGAGCGCAGUACACCGGUACCUCCACUGCCUUGGCCAGUAGCCUGAGGACGCCCUCUUUCAGCUCCUGCUUUUCCUCCUCGACAGACACAGAGGACGAGGAAGUGCCCGGCACUUGCGAUAAUGCUUCCCUAUGCAGAGGCCUGGGGACAGCGUGACUGGGAAUCCGGCCUGAACCAGGCAGACGGGGUCUUGGCCUCCUUGAGGCUAAAGUCUUUAUGGAAGACCGAGGAGAAGCAAGUUCCUGGAGACUAAGCAUAGUGAUUUAAAGCAUGGAGUCCAGAGCCAAGCUGAUCGUAGCUCUGCCCCUUAUGAGCUGUGUUCCUAAACCAUUCUGCAUCUCAGUUUCCUGAUUGAGAAUUGGGGAUGAUAAUAAUCCCACUUCAUAGAUCGUUGUAAAGAUUAAAUGAUACUUAACAUUAAUAAAACAAGUAGAACCAUGUCUGACAUGUAGUGGGUGUUAGUGGUGGUUGAUUCAAGAAAUAGAUAAAUACGUACAUAAGUAUUGAAGACUUGGAGGCAGUGUGUGGUGAAAUGUCUGAACUUAAAUGGCUUCUACCCAACUUC
Molecule: long non-coding RNA, 820 nt
Organism: Zalophus californianus (California sea lion)
Lineage: Eukaryota; Metazoa; Chordata; Mammalia; Carnivora; Otariidae
Exons: 3
Source: RefSeq, a predicted model, not a curated record